CCUACGGGUGGCAGCAGUGAGGGAUAUUGGUCAAUGGGGGAAACCCUGAACCAGCAACGCCGCGUGAGUGAAGACGGUUUUCGGAUUGUAAACCUCUGUCCUCUGUGAAGAUAAUGACGGUAGCAGAGGAGGAAGCUCCGGCUAACUACGUGCCAGCAGCCGCGGUAAUAAGUAGGGAGCAAGCGGUGACCGGAUUUACUGGGGGUAAAGGGUGGGUAGGCGGGACUGCAAGUCAGACGUGAAAACGAUGGGGUUAACCCGUGAACUGCUUUUGAAACUGGAGGGCUUGAGUGGAGUAGAGGCAGGCGGAAUGCCCGGUGUAGCGGUGAAAUGCGUAGAGAUCAGGAGGAACACCAGUUGCGAAGGCAGCCUGCUGGGCUUUAACUGACGCUGAGGCACGAAAGCGUGGGGAGCGAACAGGAUUAGAUACCCGGGUAGUC
This 440-nucleotide ribosomal RNA is filed under the name uncultured bacterium. RNAcentral's name for it is "partial 16S ribosomal RNA". It matches the Rfam family "Bacterial small subunit ribosomal RNA", at positions 338 to 795 of the family's 1533-position model. The record is from RNAcentral.